GACGAAGCGUGCGAACGUUGUUCGGAAUCACUGGGCUUAAAGGGCGCGUAGGCGGGUCGGCAAGUCCGGGGUGAAAGCCCCCAGCUCAACUGGGGAAGGGCCUUGGAAACUGCCGGUCUCGAGGGAGGUAGGGGCCUGUGGAACUUCGGGUGGAGCGGUGAAAUGCGUUGAUAUCCGAAGGAACGCCGGUGGCGAAAGCGACGGGCUGGAUCUCUUCUGACGCUGAGGCGCGAAAGCUAGGGUAGCGAACGGG
Molecule: ribosomal RNA, 253 nt
Filed under: uncultured bacterium
Lineage: Bacteria
Description: partial 16S ribosomal RNA
Rfam family: Bacterial small subunit ribosomal RNA
Source: RNAcentral